GUGGUCCUCUCUCUGCUUAGCCUGCCUGAGCUGGUCUGAGGGUCCUGAUUUUUCACCCGUGCCUUCCCUUCUACUGUUCCCUGAGGACAGGCACCCCCAGAUGGAAACUCUGACUUGUCUUCUACCUCAUCUCCACAGGAACCUUGCUCCUCAAAAAUCAAAGAACACAGUGGAUGCAAAAAUAUUCUGUAAACGGAAAAAUGUAGAUGUAGAGAAGAACUAAGCCACAUCUGUCGAGGGCCCUGCACUUGCCAGGUCAUGAGCUACAAAGUUGAUUUACUGACCCAUGAAUGGGUCACAACCCGCAGUUUGGAAACAGCUGGAUGGACCCCCACCUGUGCUUUCCAGUUUCUCCUAGAGCCUCAGGGCCCCAAGAAGGCAGUGUGGUCUCUGCAGCCAGGUCCUCUCCUGGGAGAAACACUUCAACUUUUGCAAAAGAUUCAUUAAUUCAUCACCAUGGUGCCCAGAAA
This 470-nucleotide long non-coding RNA is filed under the name Pongo abelii (Sumatran orangutan). RNAcentral describes it as "lincRNA". The record is from RNAcentral. Lineage: Eukaryota; Metazoa; Chordata; Mammalia; Primates; Hominidae.